This 337-nucleotide long non-coding RNA is filed under the name Mus pahari (shrew mouse). Its description in RNAcentral is "lncRNA (MGP_PahariEiJ_G0004382.1)". The record is from RNAcentral. Lineage: Eukaryota; Metazoa; Chordata; Mammalia; Rodentia; Muridae.
AGCUAUCAUGCUGUCGAGUGGGGUACUUGAAGACCUCGUGGACUAGCUGAAGGGCCAGAAAUCCAAUACAUCAAGAAGUCUGAGUCUGGUGCCAUGGUAAGAGGAUGAGCAGUAGAUGGGGGAGCAGAAGCAGGAGGCCCGCGGCACCGAGUUGAGUAUGGCCUGGGCUCACUGUAUUUGUCUUCCAGCCAGCACCAUGGCCAGCUGCUCCUAGGACAGUUCCCUGAGCUUCCUGUCCAUUCCUACCUGCUGCUUGCCGCCAUGCCUCUGCUGCUCCAGCAGGAACUCUAACCCUCUAGGAACUUCGAAUUUCACCUCAGACUUCGAGGAAGAAACA